This 800-nucleotide ribosomal RNA is filed under the name uncultured bacterium. RNAcentral's name for it is "bacterial SSU rRNA". It matches the Rfam family "Bacterial small subunit ribosomal RNA", at positions 8 to 788 of the family's 1533-position model. The record is from RNAcentral.
AGAGUUUGAUCCUGGCUCAGAACGAACGCUGGCGGCGUGCCUCAUACAUGCAAGUCGAACGAGAAACCCCUGAGCAAUCGGGGGGAGUAAAGUGGCGAACGGGUGAGUAACACGUGGGCAACCUGCCUCGAAGUUUUGGAUAAGCCCUCGAAAGGGGGUCUAAUACGGAAUAACCUCCUCAGUUGGCAUCAUCUGGGGAGCAAAGGUAGCUCAUUUUAUGGGCUAUUGCUUUGAGAUGGGCCCGCGCUCCAUUAGCUUGUUGGUGAGAUAAAAGCCCACCAAGGCUACGAUGGAUAGCCGACCUGAGAGGGUGUACGGCCACACUGGGACUGAGAUACGGCCCAGACUCCUACGGGAGGCAGCAGUAGGGAAUAUUGCGCAAUGCCCGAAUGGGUGACGCAGCAACGCCGCGUGGGUGAUGAAGUUCUUCGGAAUGUAAAACCCUGUCAGAGGGGAAGAAAAUCCUACCUUAGGUGGGAUCUGACGGUACCCUCAGAGGAAGCUCCGGCUAACUCCGUGCCAGCAGCCGCGGUAAUACGGGGGGAGCAAGCGUUGUUCGGAAUCACUGGGCGUAAAGGGUGUGUAGGUGGGCAGGCAAGUCAGACGUGAAAAUCCAAGGCUUAACCUUGGACCGGCGUUUGAAACUACCUGUCUUGAGUACGGGAGAGGAAAGUGGAAUUUCAGGUGUAGCGGUGAAAUGCGUAGAUAUCUGAAAGAACACCGGUGGCGAAGGCGGCUUUCUGGCCCGAUACUGACACUGAGACACGAAGGCUAGGGGAGCAAACAGGAUUAGAUACCCU